GCUACGGGCCGCACCAGUGGGGAAUAUUGCACAAUGGGCGCAUGCCUGAUGCAGCCAUGCCGCGUGUAUGAAGAAGGCCUUCGGGUUGUAAAGUACUUUCAGCGGGGAGGAAGGCGAUAAGGUUAAUAACCUUGUCGAUUGACGUUACCCGCAGAAGAAGCACCGACUAAGUCCGUGCCAGCAGCCGCGGUAAUACGGAGGGUGCAAGCGUUAAUCGGAAUUACUGGGCGUAAAGCGCACGCAGGCGGUCUGUCAAGUCGGAUGGGAAAUCCCCGGGCUCAACCUGGGAACUGCAUUCGAAACUGGCAGGCUAGAGUCUUGUAGAGGGGGGUAGAAUUCCAGGUGUAGCGGUGAAAUGCGUAGAGAUCUGGAGGAAUACCGGUGGCGAAGGCGGCCCCCUGGACAAAGACUGACGCUCAGGUGCGAGAGCGUGGGGAGCAAACAGGAUUAGAUACCCGUGUAGUC
This 465-nucleotide ribosomal RNA is filed under the name uncultured bacterium. Its description in RNAcentral is "bacterial SSU rRNA". It matches the Rfam family "Bacterial small subunit ribosomal RNA", at positions 338 to 795 of the family's 1533-position model. The record is from RNAcentral.